RNAcentral lists this transfer RNA (72 nucleotides) under Camelus bactrianus (Bactrian camel). It matches the Rfam family "tRNA". Rfam says of the family: Transfer RNA (tRNA) molecules are approximately 80 nucleotides in length. Their secondary structure includes four short double-helical elements and three loops (D, anti-codon, and T loops). Further hydrogen bonds mediate the characteristic L-shaped molecular structure. tRNAs have two regions of fundamental functional importance: the anti-codon, which is responsible for specific mRNA codon recognition, and the 3' end, to which the tRNAs corresponding amino acid is attached (by aminoacyl-tRNA synthetases). tRNAs cope with the degeneracy of the genetic code in two manners: having more than one tRNA (with a specific anti-codon) for a particular amino acid; and 'wobble' base-pairing, i.e. permitting non-standard base-pairing at the 3rd anti-codon position. Lineage: Eukaryota; Metazoa; Chordata; Mammalia; Artiodactyla; Camelidae. RNAcentral also lists the same sequence under 2 other names. The record is from Rfam by way of RNAcentral.
GGGGGUAUAGCUCAGUGGUAGAGCUCAUGCUUAGCACGCACGAGGUCCUGGGUUCAAUCCCCAGUACCCCCA